GGAGGAGGGAGAGGAGGGUUUCACAAAGUAUCCAGUCUUUGCGGCACCCUUACCAGCAACAGCCCCAGCCCAGCCUUUCAUUUUUCUCUGAGGUCUACUUUUACCCAAACCUCUAAACAUACUCAUGCCCAAGCUUAAAGAGUGCCAGUGGGCGAAGACAAGAAGGGGCCACACUCCUGUCUUCCAGCUGUGUAAUAAUAAAGCCAAUGUGGUGGACUUUUUUUGUUGGUGGUGGUUUGUUGUUUUUUUGUUGUUUUUGUUUUUGGUUUUUUGUUUUUGUUUUGUUUUUUU
This 291-nucleotide long non-coding RNA is filed under the name Ictidomys tridecemlineatus (thirteen-lined ground squirrel). RNAcentral's name for it is "lncRNA (ENSSTOG00000031878.1)". Lineage: Eukaryota; Metazoa; Chordata; Mammalia; Rodentia; Sciuridae. The record is from RNAcentral.